RNAcentral lists this long non-coding RNA (245 nucleotides) under Salvia miltiorrhiza (redroot sage). RNAcentral describes it as "long non-coding RNA (SMIL_LNC010283)". The record is from RNAcentral. Lineage: Eukaryota; Viridiplantae; Streptophyta; Magnoliopsida; Lamiales; Lamiaceae.
UCACACAAAUUAAUUUGAGAUGAUGAAUUAAUGUUUGAAAAUAUUUUUGUGUAGAGAUAGAGAUAGAGAUGAGUUACAGUUGUGCUGGUGUGACAUCGGUGAGGGCCAAUCGUGCAGUUUUGAUCUUCUCCUUGAGGAAAAAUGAAGCUUGUUUCUUGAAUUCAUGAAAUGUAGGUGUAGGUGUUGGAUUCAUGUUGAGUACUGCUUCCUACCAUUGACAUUUUUGUUCAUAUCAUCCUACCUAU